AUAGAGACUCAGAGCUGCAUAUCAAUAAGCGGAGGAAAAGAAACUAACAAGGAUUCCCUUAGUAACGGCGAGUGAAGCGGGAAGAGCUCAAAUUUGAAAUCUUCAAGGUUUUACCUUGACGAAUUGUAGUUUAUAGAAGUGUUUUCUGUUAGAUGAGUAGCAAAAGUUCCUUGGAAUAGGACAUCAUAGAGGGUGAGAAUCCCGUAUUUGGUUAUUCAUUCUAGCGUUGUGAUACACUUUCAAAGAGUCGGAUUGUUUGGGAAUGCAGUCCAAAAUGGGUGGUAAAUUUCAUCUAAAGCUAAAUAUUGGCGAGAGACCGACAGCGAACAAGUACCGUGAGGGAAAGAUGAAAAGAACUUUGAAAAGAGAGUUAAACAGUACGUGAAAUUGUCAAAAGGGAAGCGUUUGACACCAGUGUUGUUUUCUCGAAAAUCAAUUAAGAAUGACUGGAUUUUGUGUUGUAUUGACUUUAUCAGCUUUCUUCACUCUUUUCGAAGUCUUUUUAAAUGCACUUUUCGGUUAACAAGUCAACAUCAAUUUCUUUUGUUGUAAAAGAGUCAUUGGAAGGUGGCUUUCUUUUCGGAGAAAGUGUUUAUAGCCCUUAUGCCUCUACAAUCGGAGAGAUUGAGGUCUGCAGCGUAGAUCCUUCGGGGUUAGAUACAUUUGUGCUAAGUUGUAGCUUUUCAUAGACAACUUGUUGACUAUGUUUAGUCAUUGUAGGCUUACUCGCUUAUGCUAUUUUACCUACGCUUAGGAUGUUGACGAUCAGCUGAGCGCG
This 778-nucleotide ribosomal RNA is filed under the name uncultured Neocallimastigales. RNAcentral describes it as "partial large subunit ribosomal RNA". It matches the Rfam family "Eukaryotic large subunit ribosomal RNA", at positions 23 to 648 of the family's 3401-position model. Lineage: Eukaryota; Fungi; Neocallimastigomycota; Neocallimastigomycetes; Neocallimastigales. The record is from RNAcentral.